This 801-nucleotide ribosomal RNA is filed under the name Rhodococcus sp. E56. Its description in RNAcentral is "bacterial SSU rRNA". It matches the Rfam family "Bacterial small subunit ribosomal RNA", at positions 189 to 1002 of the family's 1533-position model. The record is from RNAcentral. Lineage: Bacteria; Bacillati; Actinomycetota; Actinomycetes; Mycobacteriales; Nocardiaceae.
AUGUGUUGUGGUGGAAAGAUUUAUCGGUGCAGGAUGGGCCCGCGGCCUAUCAGCUUGUUGGUGGGGUAAUGGCCUACCAAGGCGACGACGGGUAGCCGACCUGAGAGGGUGACCGGCCACACUGGGACUGAGACACGGCCCAGACUCCUACGGGAGGCAGCAGUGGGGAAUAUUGCACAAUGGGCGGAAGCCUGAUGCAGCGACGCCGCGUGAGGGAUGAAGGCCUUCGGGUUGUAAACCUCUUUCAGCAGGGACGAAGCGUGAGUGACGGUACCUGCAGAAGAAGCACCGGCUAACUACGUGCCAGCAGCCGCGGUAAUACGUAGGGUGCGAGCGUUGUCCGGAAUUACUGGGCGUAAAGAGUUCGUAGGCGGUUUGUCGCGUCGUUUGUGAAAACCCGGGGCUCAACUUCGGGCUUGCAGGCGAUACGGGCAGACUUGAGUGUUUCAGGGGAGACUGGAAUUCCUGGUGUAGCGGUGAAAUGCGCAGAUAUCAGGAGGAACACCGGUGGCGAAGGCGGGUCUCUGGGAAACAACUGACGCUGAGGAACGAAAGCGUGGGUAGCAAACAGGAUUAGAUACCCUGGUAGUCCACGCCGUAAACGGUGGGCGCUAGGUGUGGGUUCCUUCCACGGGAUCUGUGCCGUAGCUAACGCAUUAAGCGCCCCGCCUGGGGAGUACGGCCGCAAGGCUAAAACUCAAAGGAUUUGACGGGGGCCCGCACAAGCGGCGGAGCAUGUGGAAUAAUUCGAUGCAACGCGAAGAACCUUUACCUGGGUUUGACAUACACCGGAAAACCGUA